RNAcentral lists this small RNA (123 nucleotides) under bovine gut metagenome. Its description in RNAcentral is "Ribosomal protein L10 leader". It matches the Rfam family "Ribosomal protein L10 leader", at positions 9 to 129 of the family's 138-position model. Rfam says of the family: This family is a putative r-protein leader autoregulatory structure found in B. subtilis and other low-GC Gram-positive bacteria. It is located in the 5' untranslated regions of mRNAs encoding ribosomal proteins L10 and L12 (rplJ-rplL). A Rho-independent transcription terminator structure that is probably involved in regulation is included at the 3' end. The record is from RNAcentral.
UACAAGAUGACUGCCGAAGACAGCAGGUGCCGUAUGGCGUAAGUUGAAAUCGCCUGCCGAGGAGUACAAGUUCUUUUUUGAAUGGAUUUGUGUGCCCCGUAUCUUCGGAUACGGGGUUUUUUC